GUGCAAGUGGUGGACUUCAAAACCGAGGUUGGGUUCG
This 37-nucleotide transfer RNA is filed under the name Durinskia baltica. RNAcentral describes it as "partial Selenocysteine transfer RNA". The record is from RNAcentral. Lineage: Eukaryota; Dinophyceae; Peridiniales; Kryptoperidiniaceae.